This 440-nucleotide ribosomal RNA is filed under the name uncultured bacterium. RNAcentral's name for it is "partial 16S ribosomal RNA". It matches the Rfam family "Bacterial small subunit ribosomal RNA", at positions 338 to 795 of the family's 1533-position model. The record is from RNAcentral.
CCUACGGGAGACAGCAGUGGGGGAUAUUGCACAAUGGGGGAAACCCUGAUGCAGCGACGCCGCGUGUGGGAAGACGGUCCUCUGGUUUGUAAACCACUGUCCCCAGGGACGAAGAUGACGGUACCUGAGAAGGAAGCUCCGGCUAACUCCGUGCCAGCAGCCGCGGUAAUACGUAGGGAGCGAGCGUUUUCCGGAAUUACUGGGUGUAAAGGGAGCGUAGGCGGGGAUGCAAGUUGGGGGUCAAAACUACCGGCUCAACUGGUAGUCGCACUCAAAACUGCAGCUCUUGAGUGAAGGAGAGGCAGGCGGAAUUCCUAGUGUAGCGGUGAAAUGCGUAGAUAUCAGGAGGAACACCAGUGGCGAAGGCGGCCUGCUGGGCUUUUACUGACGCUGAGGCUCGAAAGCGUGGGGAGCAAACAGGAUUAGAUACCCUAGUAGUC